AAGUUUUGGAGCUGCGGGAGCCGGCCAGUUGGCCUCAGCGCCUCCUUACGGAAUUGGCGUAAGGCAAAGAGGCGCGGCUGGAAGAACCAGACUGAGAAAGUGCCACAGGGCGGGGGCCGCAUCCGCCCCUCGGCUUCUGGUUACUGACCCGACGGCUUUGAGGUCCUGGAACCAAUCCCCUCUGAUACUGAGAGACAACUAUUACACAAGAGAAAUAUUCUACCAUUCACAAAAUCUCGUUUAAGUGUUGUGAAAUACAAACACCAGGGAAUCAAGAACUUUAGAAAAUUGUGGCUGUGUUCCCAUAUGUGGUACAAAGAACCAGUGAGUCCCAUUUGUUGUGGUUCCUGCAUUCGAUGACUCCAGAUGUGCCACCACCGAGCUAGUCUUAUGACAACCUAGAAGGCAAAUUGGGAUGGCCCUAUAUUUGUCACUGAGAGCAGAAGGGUUGAGAACUUAGAUCCUGACAGGAGGCCCACCUUUAUUGGAGAAAUGGCUCUGCAACUUAGCUCAUGUAAGACUGCUGGGAUUUGAAAUUUAUCCUAUUAUUUGAAGACUGAAAUCAAAAUAUGAAGGUGGAGCAUCAUGUGUGCCUUCUGUCUUGUUCUCUACUAGGGUGUAAACCAUUUAACUAAAAAUAGUCUCCAAUUUGACACCUUCCCAACAUUUCACUAGUAUACUCCAAAUCUCCAUGCAGGGUUACAGACCUAUUUCAGCUGGCUCCAUUUACUCUGAGGCAGAUAAAGCUGAGAUUGCAACAUCAGAAGCAGUUCAACCAAUCAUUAUGUACAAACCUCAGCCCAUUUGUAUAAUGCAAUCCUUCUGGUAGUAAUGACACAAAACAUGCCUAUAGGGACGAUCACAACCCUGUCAAAGUCCCAAGUCAUCUGUGGCACCAGGGCCACAGAACUUCUUACCACUUGGAAGCAAAAUAGUUGCUUUAAUGGUAACCAAAUGCCCUCCUUCAAGACAGUAUUUCAAGAAGGAGGAGUAUACGUAUAUUAUACAAACAUAUCCAAUCCCUUUAGAAGAUAAUUAUCAAUAUCAUGCAGGGAAGCUGGAACACACACACAAAAUCGAGUACUAUCUAGAAGAUCAAGCCACAAAUCUCAAGAGAAGCAGUAAGUGUCCAGGGCCUGGGAUUUUUUAUCUUGGCCGUGAGAAUAGCACAGCCCAUGGUGCAGAAACGACAGGCUAGUUGUCCAGCAUAACAUGGUGUUUUAUUUCACCAUAGUAGACUGCUGGGAAAUCUCUGGAGGCCUUGGCAGCUGUGUCUUGUCUUUAAUAUGAAGCCUGGGGGGGAAGACAGAGAGAGAGACUCAUAAUUCACAAGAGGCCCAGCCGUAAGAAAGCCAUUCUAAAUAACUGAAUCAGGCACCGAGGAGGAGCGACUAUUCCAUUCCUAAGUCAAGAAUGCUUUUUGUCUUUCCUUCUCUCCUAAUUGGCUCAUGAAAAGAUCAUUUAUGUGUGGUAGAAUCAGUACAUCAGAGGCAGCUUCUGUUUCUCUCCAUUUCUCCUCCCCACUGCUGCUGUCCUGUAAAAAGACCCUUUGUUACAGACUGAAACAGCAGAUGCAGCUCAGAUAUUAUCUUGAAUAAUUUUGUGGGGAGCAUUUUAUCUUGAAUUGGUGUAAUGCCAUUUUCACGUGGAAAGUGGUUCUAUGUCUGAUCCAAAUGUUCUAGAAACUUGAGAGACCCAUAUGGCAAAGAAGUACUUUACACACAUAUCUCUUUAAAGUAGUGCAGGGUAUGGGAAGAACUGAUAAUGCUGAUUAAAUGAUAUGUAGACGAAAUGAAUGUAAACUGGCAUCAUGGGCUGAGUGAGUCAGGGGAGGCCUUGUGGAAGAGAUAAGAGUAAUAGAAAAUGCUAGGUCAAGUAUGUGUAGAGGCCUGGAGAGAGGAAUGGACUUAGUGGGUCCAAAAGUAAGAAGACUUGUUUGUUGUGAAUACAGAGUUAGAAGUAGGUAGAAGAAAAAGUUGGUCGGGUCCUGCAGAGAUUAAAAAUCCGGUUUAAGAUUUUAGAUUGUUUCAAUCAUCAAUUAGUUGGUGUCUGUGUUCAUUGUGGAAAUGCUUUAAAUAUAGAUAACAAAAAGGAUAAUAACUUACAAUCCUACCAGUCGUAGGAUGAUGAUGGCAGACAAUGUGGUGCACAUUCUUUCAUAUAUUUUAUUGUCCUAGUUUAAGGUUCCCUAUAGGCAGAUCCUGAGAUGAAGAUUUAAAUGCACACCACUUAUUGAGGAGGUGAUUUCAGGAAACACCGGCAGGAGAGUGGGGCAGUAUGACAGGGAAAGAAAGGAAGCAAAAAAAUAAAGGGCAUGUUCUCAAAGGAAUCAGUUGGAGAGCAGUCAUGCUGGAGACACUGGAAGAGAGUAUAGAAGAUGUCUCAAUGUAGUCCUGCCUAGGGAUCAGGAAGUCGAAGUAUUUAUCCACUAAUUCUUGUCAAUUGAGAAUUUAUUUGAGGGGCAUUAACUCUCCAAAACGGUCUCCCUGUGCCGGAAAAAUAACCCUAAGCAGAAUGUUGUAGGUAUUUGCAGCAAAUAGCCCUCAGUGUGUCCUGAGGAUUGGUGUAGUACAUAAAUAUACAAAAUUAUUUUUAUUUAUAAAAAAGCUUUCUAUGCAUCAGGCUCUGUACUGUGUGUUUUACUUGCAUUCACUCAAAAUAGUUCUCACAGAAGCCCUAUGAGGUCGGCGCUACUCUUAUCCCCUGAGGAUUAGAGGCUGGGAGAAGUAUAUAUGAGAGUCAUAUGGAGAUUAAAUACCUGAAGUCAUGAGGAGAUGAUGCACUCUCCAAGAGAGCUUUGAUGACAGCCUAUUUAUGCAGCUUCUGUCAUCUGUACACAUUCUCCUCUUUCUGUCAACAAAGAGUUUUUCUUUUGCAAUUGUAAAUGUCCUCUGUUUUCAGAGACUUUUGUUGGAAAACAAAACAAAAUCUUGAGACAUGAAGGAUCUGUAAUGGACACCUGUCGAUUGUGUCUGUUCAGCAGCUCCUCUCCCACCUGUCUUCCAGUACAACACCUUAUUUCAUUGGAGAGAAAGGUUCUACCUCUUCUCCUUAAGGUUUUAGUGGACAGCCAAACCAGUCUUCAGUCUACAGGGUGAGUAUGAGAUCCAGGCUUGACCAACCAUAGUCACCACCCACUUGGCUACAUCAAAUUGAGCCAGAAAGAGCCUUUCCCUGGGAAUUUAUAUGUAGACUUUGGGAAAAGGAAGCUUUCUUCUCUGAUGUUACUAGACAGCGAUGACAAAACCAGUGCUUGUCUGGACCAUGCUCCACUUCCUCUCCACAGCAAGAUGAGCAAGCUCAUCUGUAGUAGGAAAGAAUGUAGGAAUGCAUCCCCUGCACAGAGAAAAGCGGAGGAGAGAAUGAGAGAGAGAGAGAGAGAGAGAGAGAGAGAGAGAGAGAGAGAGAGAUCUGACUGUACUGCUAAGUCCCUGCAAUCCCCACCAAGGUCUGCAAGGUCUACUUCCCCUAGACUACAACUACCCAUUACUUGUGCCAAAUAUUCAAUAAAUCGUAACCUUAGCAGGGAGAGGGAUGAAGAGAGAUUGAUUAAUGGGUAUGUAUAUACAGUAUGAUAGAAGAAAUAAGACCUAGUAUUUCAUCAGUCAGUAGUAUGACUAUAGUUUACAAUAAUCUAUUGUAUAUUUCAAUAUAGCUAGAAGAGAAGAAUUAGAAUGUUUCUAGCAUAAAGAAAACACAAAUAUUUAAGGUGAUGGGAAUCUCAGUUACACUGAUUUUAUCUUUACAAGGCAUAUGAAUGUUUUAAAUUGUCAUAGUACCCCCAAAAUA
RNAcentral lists this long non-coding RNA (3789 nucleotides) under Homo sapiens (human). Its description in RNAcentral is "SEPTIN7 divergent transcript". Lineage: Eukaryota; Metazoa; Chordata; Mammalia; Primates; Hominidae. The record is from RNAcentral.